Molecule: ribosomal RNA, 503 nt
Filed under: uncultured bacterium
Lineage: Bacteria
Description: partial 16S ribosomal RNA
Rfam family: Bacterial small subunit ribosomal RNA
Source: RNAcentral
AUUGAACGCUGGCGGCAGGCUUAACACAUGCAAGUCGAGCGGGGUGAUGGUGCUUGCACUAUCACUUAGCGGCGGACGGGUGAGUAAUGCUUAGGAAUCUGCCUAUUAGUGGGGGACAACAUCUCGAAAGGGAUGCUAAUACCGCAUACGUCCUACGGGAGAAAGCAGGGGAUCACUUGUGACCUUGCGCUAAUAGAUGAGCCCAAGUCGGAUUAGCUAGUUGGUGGGGCAAAGGCCUACCAAGGCGACGAUCUGUAGCGGGUCUGAGAGGAUGAUCCGCCACACUGGGACUGGGACACGGCCCAGACUCCUACGGGAGGCAGCAGUGGGGAGUAUUGGACAAUGGGGGGAACCCUGAUCCAGCCAUGCCGCGUGUGUGAAGAAGGCCUUAUGGUUGUAAAGCACUUUAAGCGAGGAGGAGGCCCUUUUGGUUAAUACCCAAGAUGAGUGGACGUUACUCGCAGAAUAAGCACCGGCUAACUCUGUGCCAGCCGCCGCCGUAA